Molecule: long non-coding RNA, 5422 nt
Filed under: Phoenix dactylifera (date palm)
Lineage: Eukaryota; Viridiplantae; Streptophyta; Magnoliopsida; Arecales; Arecaceae
Description: long non-coding RNA (PDAC_LNC010712)
Source: RNAcentral
ACUCACCACCCAAAGAAAUCCAUUCAAGGGAUACAGAGUUUGAUGGAAGAAAACUCACCACCCAAAGAAAUCCACCCUAGGGAUACAGAGUUCUAGUGAUCACCACUCACAGACAAUCUUCCUGAGAUAUAGAGCAAGAACACGCUCACCACCCAAAGAAAAAAGCCUAGAGAUACAGAACACCUAGAAGACGAAAAACAAGCUAAAGGCUUAAUUCCUUAAUUCACCCAAACUCGAAUUAAAUUCACUCUAAAAACAAAACAUAGGGCAUGUUUUUAUAUAGGCACAUUUGGAAUGCUUUUUAAGCAAUUACAAAUAAUCCUAACUUAGGGAGAAAGACAAAAUGCCAUAAAUAGGCAUUCCCUAAGUAGGCAUCCAAUAAGAAAGAAAAACACCAUAUAUUGGCAUUCUGUAAAAGUCCUAAACCUGAGGAAAAAGAAAAAGACCAUAUUUAGGAGUUCUAAAAUUUGCCUUUGCUUAGGCAUGAACCAAAAAUAAAUUGUCAUAGAAAGAAUUUCUUUUUGGCUCUUCCGGUUGAAAAGGACUCUCCUUAAGCACCUGUGUCAAAAUUGCCAUAGACAAAAUUUCUUUUUGGCUCCCCUGGUUGACACGUCGCAACACCUUGAAUGGACCAUCAGCUCGAGGCAUCAUUUUUCCAUACUUCCGAGUUGAAAAACGCUCCUUUCGAAGAUGAAUCCAUACCAAAUCUCCUUCCUUGAAAGUUGCCAGCUUACGAUGCUUAUUGGCACUAGCACGAUACUUCUCGUUUUGCUUGAUAAUCUUCUCUCUAAUUUGCUCAUGCAUCUUCUUAAUAGCCUUGGCUCACUCAUCAGCAUCUCCGCUGAAUUGUUGUGUUGAAGGAAUAGGAGCCAAAUCUAUGAGGCUAAUUGGAUUAAGGCCAUCACUGCUUCAAAAGGAUUGCAACCAGUAGUUUAACUUGUGGAACAGUUGUAGGCAAACUCUGCCUGAGCUAACAUGAGAUCCCACUGACGAAUGUUUUUAUUGACAAGACUCAAUAAAUUUUUCAAGCUUCAAUUAAUAACUUCAGUUUGGCCAUCGGUUUGAGGAUGAUGUGACGUGCUGAAAAGUAACUUCGUUCCAAGCUUUCUUCACAAAGUGCGCCAAAAGUGACUCAUGAACUUGGUAUCUUGAUCCGAGACAAUCAUUUUUGGCACGCCAUGAAGUUGCACAAUCUUCUAAAAGUACAAGUCAGCUACAUGUGAAGCAUCCACGGUCUUGCUACAUGGAACAAAAUGCGUCAUCUUCGAAAAACGAUCAACAAUGACCAUGAUAGAAUCCUUGUUCUUUUGUGUCCGUGGCAGCCCCAUCACAAAGUCAAUGCUAACUUUCUCUCAUGAUGAAUUUGGAACUGGUAAUGGAGUAUACAAGCCUGUGUUUUGCCCAUGACUCUUAGCUAUAUGACAAGUCUUGCAUCGCUCCAAGUGUCUCAUAAGAACUCCAUUCUAGGCCAGUAGAAAUGAGACGCCACCAACGAAAGAGUUUUUUCUCUCGCCCAAAAUGUUCAGAUAGGCCACCUCCAUGAGCUUUUAGAAUCAUUGCCUCCUGCAUUGAGCAUUGAGGAAUGCAUAACUGAUUGCCAUUGAAAAAAAAUCCAUCCUGCAAGACAAAAUGAUUAAAUGGCCCUUUCAUGCAUUCAGUUAGAAUAGUACCGAAAUACGGAUCAUCUUGAUAUAGCUCCUUGAGAACUUCAAAGCCUAAGACUUUCACUUGCAUAGUAGACAACAAGAAAUAUCUUUGACUUAGUGCGUCGGCCACCUUAUUCUGAAGUCCGGACUUAUGCUUAAUGGUGAAUGAAUAGGUCUGCAAAAGUUCCACCCAUUAAGUAUGUAGUCGAUUCAAUUUGUGUUGCCCAUUGAUGUACUUCAGUGCUUCAUGAUCAGAAAAGAGAACAAAUUCUUUGGGUAAAAGAUAGUGGCUCCAGUGAUCCAAGGCUCGCACGAUAGCAUAGAAUUUUUUGUCAUAAGUAGAAUAUCGCCUCCGAGACUCACUCAACUUCUCGCUGAAAUAGGCUUAUCUUCUUGACUAAGGACAGCACUAAUGCCCACAUUAGAAGCAUCACAAUCUACUUCAAAUAUGCUUUCGAAAUUCGGCAAUGCUAAUAUAGGAGCUUCAGUUACCUUCCUCUUCAAAACCUCAAAACUCUUUUGAGCUUCUUCAGUCCACUUAAAGACUUCUCCUUUCAAGCAAUCAGUGAUAGAAGAAAUAAUAGUACUGAAAUUUUUCAUAAAUCGACGAUAAAAUGAAGCUAACCUAUGAAAACUUCGGAUAUCAUGAAUAGACUUCGGAAUAGGCUAGCUUGUGAUCGCCUCCACCUUGCUUGGAUCCAUCUUGAUUCCAUUACUUGAGACUACAAAGCCUAGGAAGAUGAGGCUAGUAGUGCAAAAGUGACACUUCUUCAAGUUCGCAUACAUCUUUUGCUUCCGAAGCUUCUCAAAAACUUGAGGAAGACGCAUCAAGUGUUGAUCAAUGUGUUUGUUGUACACUAAAAUAUCGUCAAAGUAAACCACAACAAACAAAUCAAUAAAAGGUUUAAACAUAUGAUUCAUAAGGCACAUAAAAGUGCUCGAAGCAUUCAACAAUCCGAAUGGCAUAACCAUCCACUCAUACAAUCCAUCCCUUGUCUUAAAAAAAGUCUUUCACUCGUCUCCCAACCUCAUUCGGAUCUGAUGAUAACCGCUCCUAAGAUCUAUCUUAGAAAAUAUACAAGCACCAUGCAAUUGAUCAAGCAGGUCAUCAAGACGUGGAAUUGAAAACCGAUACUUGAUUGUGAUCUUGUUCACUGCUCUACUAUCAAUGCACAUACGCCAAGAACCAUCCUUUUUAGGCACAAGAAAAGCUGGAACCGCACAAGGGCUUAUGCUUUCCCUCACUUACCCCUUAGCAAUCAACUUGUCUACUUGCCUUUGUAACUCUUCUUGCUCCUUAGGAUUCAUCCUAUAUGCUGCCUUGUUUGGGAGACUAGCACCGGGUAUGAAAUCAAUGCAAUGUUGUAUGUCUCUCAUAGGUGGUUGUCUAGGUGGAAUUUCAUCAGGAACAAUGUUAGAAAAUUCAUGGAGCAAAGUAUUCAUGAUAGUAGGCAACUCACGCUUCUCCUCAUUCUCCUCUAUAACAAGGGCAUAGGUUCUACGAGAUUCCACUAUGGCCUUUUCAACUUCAGUUUUGGACAAAAGGUUAUUUUCCUCCCCUUUAGAAGGCUUGGGAUUGCUCUCUAUCUUAGUAGGCCCUAACAUAAUCUUCACCCCAUCCUUCAUAAAGGAAUACGUAAUUUUGAACCCAUCAUGUAUCACCUUUCUAUCAUAUUGCUAUGGACGACCAAGUAAUAAGUGACAAGCAUCCAUAGGUAUAACAUCACAAAGCAACUCAUCGGAAUAUUUCUUGCCAAUAGAAAAUUGAACAAGGCAACGCUUGUGAAUCUUUACCUCAUUACCCUUGCGAAGCCAAGAAAGCUUGUAUGGUUGAGGAUGAUCUUCCUUUUUGAGCUUCAAUUUCUCCACCAUUGUUGUUGCUACAACAUUCUCACAGCUCCUUCCGUCAAUGAUUACAUCAUAGACUUUGCCAUAAGAAGUGCAUCGUGCAUGGAAGGUGUUGCGAAGCCACUUGUCAUCUUCUACAUGUGCUGCACUCAAGCUCCUACAAACAACCAGAGAUUCUCCUUGAUCGGCAUAAACCACUUUCUCUUCUUCUACCUCCUCAUCAUCUGUUGGUUCACCCAAAUCUUCGGCUUCACCUUCAUCUUCCUCCACAAGAGAAAUAAUUUUAUGGUUAGGACAAUCAGAUGCAAUAUGGCCUAUACCUUGGCAUUUGAAGUAUCGAUGACCGGAAGGAGGUAGGAAACGACUAGAACCAGGUGCUGGAUUUUCUGCUUUAGAAGGAAUUUUUGACAAGGACGUCUUGGUGGAAUUAGUCUUGGAAGGUCCAGCACGCUCCAGAUUAAAAGGAGUGUCACGACUUGUAGCGCGAAAAACUCUCCUACAAUGCUCCUUCAUUUGCUUUUCAACCUUGCUGCAAGCUUGCACACAUCGUUAAAAGUCUAAUAAGGUUGCAAUUCUACCACAUCACAAAUUUUACUCCGUAACUCGUCAAGAUAACGGGCCAUGGUUUGCUCCUCAGGCUCCUCAACAUCACACUGCAACAUGAGAUACUCAAACUCAGUGGUAUAAUCUUCCACGGAUAAUUCUUUUUGUUUAAAAUUAUGAAAUUUGAGAAAAGCAUCUUUCCUGUAAUUAUCUGGAAGAAAUUUCUGUCUCGGCACCUUUCUCAUCUUUUUUCAUGAUACAAUUCGCCUUUUCUCUUCACGUGCCCUAUGUUUCUUAAUAUGCUCUCACCAGAUAGAGGUGUGUUUCUUCAACUUGAUGGCUACAAUUUUCACCUUGCAAUCUUUUGGUACAUCUUUUAUUCAAAGAUGCGCUCCACCGUAUGCAACCAAUCAAUGAACUCAUCAGGAUGCGCCCUUCCUUCAAAAUCAGGAAUAUCAACUUUGAUGUCAAACUCUCGUUGAAACUCGCGAUUCCUUCGAAAACGAUUUGAUGUUGGGCUAUGAUCACGAUGAAAAGGAUUGGUCUCCUCUUCCUCAUCAUGUGAAUCUUCUUUCUUUGAUUCCUGAUUUGGGAUAUUAUGUCUCAAAGUUUGAAGACGCGCCAAAUUUUGUUGAAGCCGCUGCACUUCUCUCCGCAGUUCUUCAUUCGCAGCAUCAGGAAGAUCCCACUUGCGGUUUGGUCCUUCAACUUCUUGCCCUCUUCGACCACGACCUCGAGUAGCCAUGACAACCUGGGACACUUUGAUACCAAAUUUGAUGCUGGAAAACAUAGAGGGGAAAGACAACAACGAACACUCCAACACCAACCAGAAAUUUGAUAAUAGUGGUAAACCCAAAAUCCCCAAGAACAAAAACAAUGGAUGGAUAAAAACUCACCACCCAAAGAAAUCCAUUCAAGGGAUACAGAGUUUGAUGGAAGAAAACUCACCACCCAAAGAAAUCCACUCCUAGGGAUACAGAGUUCUAGUGAUCACCACUCACAGACAAUCUUCCUGAGAUAUAGAGCAAGAACACGCUCACCACCCAAAGAAAAAAGCCUAGAGAUAUAGAACACCUAGAAGACGAAAAACAAGCCAAAGGCUUAAUUUCUUAAUUCACUCAAACUCGAAUUAAAUUCACUCUAGAAACAAAAUAUAGGGCAUGCCUUUAUAUAGGCACGUUUGGAAUGCUUUUUAAGCAAUUACAUAUAAUCCUAAACUUAGGAAGAAAGACAAAAUGCCAUAAAUAGGCGUUCCCUGAGUAAGCAUCCCAUAAGAAAGAAAAACAUCAUAUAUUGGCAUUCCAUAAGAGUCCUAAACGUGAGGAAAAAGAAAAAGACCAUAUUUAGGCGUUCUAAAAUUUGCCUUUGCUUAGGCAUAAACCAAA